This 76-nucleotide transfer RNA is filed under the name Simkania sp. RNAcentral's name for it is "tRNA-Phe". It matches the Rfam family "tRNA". From Rfam's summary of the family: Transfer RNA (tRNA) molecules are approximately 80 nucleotides in length. Their secondary structure includes four short double-helical elements and three loops (D, anti-codon, and T loops). Lineage: Bacteria; Pseudomonadati; Chlamydiota; Chlamydiia; Parachlamydiales; Simkaniaceae. The record is from RNAcentral.
GGCCAGGUAGCUCAGUUGGUAGAGCAGAGGACUGAAAAUCCUUGUGUCGCCGGUUCAAUUCCGGCUCUGGCCACCA